GAUGAACGCUGACAGAAUGCUUAACACAUGCAAGUCGAUGGGGAAGUGGUGCUUGCACCCUGGCAACCAUGGCGGACGGGUGAGUAACGCGUAAGGGACUUACCUGCAGGACUGGGAUAACAGGGGGAAACUCCUGACAAGACCGGAUAAUGUCAUGGAGCUGCAUGGCUUUAUGAUGAAAGGAGACGCCUGCGGAGAGCCUUGCGUCCUAUUAGCUAGUUGGUGAGGUAAUGGCUCACCAAGGCGAAGAUAGGUAGCCGGCCUGAGAGGGUGGACGGCCACAAGGGGACUGAGAUACGGCCCUUACUCCUACGGGAGGCAGCAGUGGGGAAUAUUGGACAAUGGGGGCAACCCUGAUCCAGCAAUUCUGUGUGCGCGAAGAAGGUUUUCGGAGUGUAAAGUGCUUUCAGCAGGGAAGAAGUAAGUGACGGUACCUGCAGAAGAAGCGACGGCUAAAUACGUG
Molecule: ribosomal RNA, 463 nt
Filed under: uncultured bacterium
Lineage: Bacteria
Description: partial 16S ribosomal RNA
Rfam family: Bacterial small subunit ribosomal RNA
Source: RNAcentral